UCCCUGGUGGCUCAGAGAGUGAAGCACCUGCCUGCAAUGUGGGAGACCUGGGUUCAAUCCCUAGGCCGGGAA
This 72-nucleotide transfer RNA is filed under the name Bos taurus (domestic cattle). It matches the Rfam family "tRNA". From Rfam's summary of the family: Transfer RNA (tRNA) molecules are approximately 80 nucleotides in length. Their secondary structure includes four short double-helical elements and three loops (D, anti-codon, and T loops). The record is from Rfam by way of RNAcentral. Lineage: Eukaryota; Metazoa; Chordata; Mammalia; Artiodactyla; Bovidae. RNAcentral also lists the same sequence under 2 other names.